Molecule: long non-coding RNA, 266 nt
Filed under: Gallus gallus (chicken)
Lineage: Eukaryota; Metazoa; Chordata; Aves; Galliformes; Phasianidae
Source: RNAcentral
AUGAAACAGCGCUCUUUUUUGAGUUUGUCAUCAAGUGUCCUCUAUGGUGCCAAUAUUGAUUUCCACAACCCCUUGAAAGCCAAGAGUGUCACGGCCAUGAUGGUCCCUGCAGCCACUGACUCGGAAAGCAGGAGAGCUAAGGUUGCUAUUGCCAGACAUUGGUUUCCCACAUGUUUCUGCCAAAUAUUAAGACUGUACAACUGAUGAUCUCAAUCAAAUUCAGAAACAGCGUCAGCUUAACUGAGAACCUGCGUACAUGUCUUAGG